GAUGAACGCUGGCGGCGUGCCUAAUACAUGCAAGUCGAGCGGUAAGGCUCCUUCGGGAGUACACGAGCGGCGGACGGGCGAGUAAUACGUAGGAACGUACCCCAAAGUGAGGAAUAACCAGCCGAAAGGUUGGCUAAUACCGCAUAUGCUCUACGGAGUAAAGCAGCAAUGCGCUUUGGGAACGGCCUGCGUCCGAUUAGCUAGUUGGUAAGGUAAAGGCUUACCAAGGCGACGAUCGGUAGCUGUUCUGAGAGGAUGAUCAGCCACACUGGAACUGAGACACGGUCCAGACUCCUACGGGAGGCAGCAGUAGGGAAUUUUCCACAAUGGGCGAAAGCCUGAUGGAGCAACGCCGCGUGCAGGAUGAAGGCCUUAGGGUUGUAAACUGCUUUUAUCUGUGACGAUUAUGACAAUAGCAGAUGAAUAGGGAUCGGCUAACUCCGUGCCAGCAGCCGCGGUAA
RNAcentral lists this ribosomal RNA (461 nucleotides) under uncultured bacterium. RNAcentral's name for it is "partial 16S ribosomal RNA". It matches the Rfam family "Bacterial small subunit ribosomal RNA", at positions 28 to 523 of the family's 1533-position model. The record is from RNAcentral.